UGGAGCAAAGAAAACCUAACCAGAGCCAAGCACCGUCACUGCCUUAUUAACUCAGUUGUUCUUCCAACCCCAUUAUUGAAUGAGGAAGUAACCGUGCGAAGGCAAAGUUGUAGAAUGGUUGAGCAGAAACGGUGAGUUCUGCUUCAAGGACCGUAGUGAGGCUGAUAGUGGAUGACCUACUCAAUUGAUGGUAGAGGUAAUAACACAUCAACGCUCACAACCGCAACCAACGGGGGUGGUUGCAUCUUCAGAUGCUGCCGGGAAGAAGACCGCGAGUGACGUUCAGGGGGGACUAGCUAGCGCGACGACGUUCACGCUGCACUGGUGACUCAGUUCGCCUAGAGAGAAACGGCUCGUUCCGGCGUGAGCAGUUAGAUAUGAGGACAACAGAACCAGGAAACCAAGUGACUGGGCCGGCGGCAACUUACCAGGAGAGGAUGACAUGUGACGAAGUCCAUGUGAAGGCACGCUUCCCAUCUUCGGAAUGGCAUUUCAACUGAUUGGGAGAUCGAGGGGGAGUGUUGGCCAGAGUAGCAGUGACGGUGGUGAAGACCCAGGCGAAAGCUCGAAGACAUGAGAGGAGAAAGCUCCGAGAUAGGGAAGGAGAGGCGAGACGACAGCCUCACGUUGAGCACUUGGGUUUUCCAAAACGACAACGUAAUGAAAUUCUUUGCAAAAUAUCAAUUAACCUGGCCCCACCAACCCUCCGUUCUUCAUUUCUAUAACGGGCUACACUUUCUGCAUCACCAACCCAUCAUUAUUCCAACAAUACUAACAGGGACACAAAGGCCCGCACUAAACAAAACUUAAUAUUACACAACCACAGAUUGCUACAACUUCCCUUCUGUUAGUAUGGGCCAGGUUGUUUUUGUUGGAUCGGGUCAGCUUUAAAAACCAUGUCCCACCCCCAUUUGAUUACCUGAAUAUCAUUAGUCAUAAUCUAGCGCAGCCAUCGUAGAAGAUUGGUGGGCUUGGGUUGUGGUUCAGGAUAAGAUUGCGUUAUCUUAUCGGAAGACGAAAAGAACAUAAUGGAUGAAUGUAGAAGGUUCCAAGUAACGAUGAAAGAUAAUAAAAACCCUAACCCCAAUUCAAGACAAUCAGAAUCAGAGACGUCCUCUGCAUCUUUUGUAUCAUGCCUUGUUGUUUGCUACCUAAGUCGUGGGGCUUAUCUUCUCCCAUUCAGAGGCUGAGAGAGAUGCAUGCCGAUGGAUCUGAAAGUCGGUUGUAUUAGGUGGAUGAAAUCAUGAGUGUUGAUGUCAGCGAUUACUGAUCGAGUGUGCAGUGUGGUGGGACAAGUGUAGGAAGCAUACCCAGACGUUGGAAAAAAUAUUACUGCCGAAUGUAUGGGAUGAGAGAUUCGGAUGCAAAACCAAUAUUGUUCUGCCAUAGGCCAUUCAGUUGGUGUGUAUCAAUUGGCGAGGUAUACUUUCCUGCAAUGGAGGCGCUUCUUGUAUGGCCUAGUUAAUUGUAAAUGUUGACGAGGAGUAGGUAUGGUCAGAAUUAACAUUUUGCGUCUGAACUUGUUAUGGAGUGAAAAUUUUAUUUUGAAACGCAAUCCUAUUUAGUAGAUUUGUAAAAGAAGACACAGUACUUAGGACCCAUUUAAAUUUCCAUGUCUCGUGUUCAAAAAAAAAUGUUAGCUAGAUGUGGACAGACCUGAUACUACUAAGUAGCUAUUCAGUUUUGUUAGUCGAUUGUAAUGAAUUAAACGAGCACGUGUUGUCGAACAGAAUAGGUGGCAUAAAUUUUGAUAAAAGAAUUAUUGUAAUGGAAUUUGAAAACUUGAAUAUUGUUGGACCUACCAGCUGGGGAUGGAAUAGAAGUAAAAUGGAGGAAGAGAGAAGAUUUUAGCGUUUGUUUGAAUGAAUGUCGUUACGGAGUUUUAUAGUUAUCGGAGUUAAAGCAAGAUUAUUUCGUUGUUUUUGAGUAUAACGGGGAAUUUAAAUUUAAAUACCCGGUGAUUCAUUUGAGUGACUCCGAGAUUGAUUAUUCAAGUUUGAUAAGUUUCCAUGAAGAUGACCGCCGUAUGGGAAAAAAAUUUUCUAUUCAUAUGAUGGUCAUCAAUAUGGAAACCUCUGAAACUCGAGUAAUCAAUUUCGGAAGCAGUGGAACGAAUCGCCGAGGAUUUAAAUUUAGAUUCUCCUUUGUACUUAAAUGCCACGAGAAACUCUUGCUUUAGUUCCGAUAACUCUACAACUCUGUCUCGGGCUUUGUUCAUUCAAACACUAUCAUUUUCUUUCAUGCUCCAUUUUACUUCUAUUUCAUCCCCGUUGGUAGCUCCAACAAUAUUCGUUUCCGCAGGCUUUUCGAAAAUAUCUGUUAAAAAAAAGUCGAUGCUACCUCGUGAUGUUGGCAACACGUUCUAUGAUGAUGGUUGUUAGUACGAUAUCCAAUAGGAAUGCAGGUAAUUGAAACUGAUCUGAUUUAUAAUCUAUUUUUCCGUCGAAGUAUUACGCAAUAGAAAUUAAAAAAUGCAGUAACUUUUGUUAAUGUGCACGUCUUUGUUGCUGACUUCAUGAGGAGGAGGCACACAAGCGGGGAUAACAACAGGCUGCGUGCGCACAUUACGUUGAUGGAACAGAGGAGGAAGAAUACCAAGGUGGUUGUUGACAGAAGUUCUCCAUUCAUCAGAGAAUGUUGAAUCUAUAAAAGAAAUGUAGGUUUGCUGCAAAUGUAACAACCGGGUUGUGCUGAAUUUAUAUGGUAUUUAGACUUCGCUUCAAGGAAGAAAUACAGUCUCAAUCGGAUGUAUGAAUGUUAACAAUCUAACCAGCAUUCAAGUGAACUAGUAUUUUUACUUGGAGAUUUCUUGUCCAUCAUGCCAUUCCUUUUCCUCAUCUCCAUUUCAUCAAGUCUAGUUUUCUACUUCCUAGUAGGGCUGACAGAUGAAUUCAACUUCUUAAUGUACUUUCUGCUCUACAUUUUCAUGUCUUUUAGCAAGUGAAGCAAUUAUGUAUCUCAUGGAAGUUGUUUAUCGUUUUCGUGUGUUCAUUUUAUUAUGCAGAAAAUCAUCUCUGCUUAUUAGUUGUAGGUGUCAAAUAGUAGGUACCGAAUUUAGUAGUUUAUUUCGCCUACUUGCAUCGUUGCAUUGUACAAUUAAAUUCUUGUUGAUGCCUUUUGCAUUUCCUAUAUCAGUUUUGAGUUUAUCAUGAAUUUUUG
Long non-coding RNA from Arachis ipaensis, 3159 nucleotides. RefSeq lists it as uncharacterized. The record is from RefSeq and is a predicted model, not a curated record. Lineage: Eukaryota; Viridiplantae; Streptophyta; Magnoliopsida; Fabales; Fabaceae.